CUCGAUUGGCUGGAGGGGGCGAGAGGUGGCGGGAGGGGGCGGAGCACAACGAUCUCGGGCGGCGCCGGGGAGGAGAGCUGGCAGGGUCCCGGGACGGCUUGUUUGUUUAUUUGGAAAGUAGAAGCCAGUCUGGUUCACUAGUUCCCACCGCGCCCGGAGAGCCGAGAGUCUCGGGAGAAAGUGUGGGCAACCCCUGGAAACGUGUUAACGACCAGGGCCCUCAGACCUGCCGCCCACCGCGCUGCAGGCACUCGCGAGCCUGCUCCAGCCCUGAUAAAAGCCCGCGGGUGUGGGGCACACAAAUAACAGCGAGGUUUUCAAAAUGAGCCUCCUCUUUCAUCAGGGUGCGUUUUUAGUCCACGAAACGUAGGUUGGCUAAAGAGGGUGGUUCUGGCUGUUUGAUUAAUGCUGACUAUGAAAGCACAAAUUUGGGGGCCUGCAAAGUAUACAGCCAUGUUGAAAAAAAAAAUCGGACUCGAUUCUUACUCAAAAACAGCAGUGUUGAGCUGUGGUGAUCUUUUCCCGUGGGAGAGGCUUUGAAAGGCGCCUUUAAGAGAAUUUCAAAAUAAUAUUGUUUCCCUUUGCUUGAUCAAGAGCGAAAAACUUUAGAAAAAGAAAAGCUCAUACCUAGAACAAAGGAUCAUACUUAACACAUAUCCUAGAAUAUAUUUCACAUUCCUCACGUUAAGAAAGGAAGCUUUUUGCUGAAUCUCAGUGUACAGCUUGACACCACAAAAAUAAGAACUACUGCCUCCUCUGUUUCUGGACAAACUGCUGGAAUGUGGAGUGUAAGUGCAACCUCCUGAAGUGUUUCUCAGUAUCUCUCUAUCCUGCUCUCUUUUACUAGGAUUUCAGCUUCCUGAGGGUGGCAAUGGGUUGAUGUUACAUUAAAAUGUCAAAGGAGUGACCGCAGUUGCAAAGAGGGAUUUUGGAGGGGAGGGUGGGAUGUGGGAAUGGAAUGUCAGUUCACCUUUGUCCUUGGGUAGAUGCUGCAAAUCGUAUUAUUUAUAAAAUCUAACAGUAAACCAGGCAAGGUAUACAUCAUAAAAAAUAACCCCCAACCCUGCCCUCUUAAGAAUUUGUUCUCUGUUAGAAACAGAAUAAACACAUUUGGAUGAAUGGCUCCUUUUUGAUGCUCCGAUUUUGAGAAAAAAGAUUUGGUUUUGGCUAUCUCAAAAAAAAAAACAACCAUUAUCAUUCCUCCGCUGCCACCGGUUUAUAAACACAGUAUAUUCACAGGUGCUAGGAGCAGCCGUGAUUUCUGAAAGAGGCUGGAAGUAGGAGGAGAGUGGAUGCUGACAGAACUCUGACUGGAGCUGCUACCCACGU
Molecule: long non-coding RNA, 1329 nt
Filed under: Bos grunniens (domestic yak)
Lineage: Eukaryota; Metazoa; Chordata; Mammalia; Artiodactyla; Bovidae
Description: lncRNA (ENSBGRG00000022056.1)
Source: RNAcentral